GGGACGUUAACUCAGACGGUAGAGUAUCUGCCUUUUAAGCAGAGAGUCGCGCGUUCAAUCCGCGCACGUCCCACCA
This 76-nucleotide transfer RNA is filed under the name Desulfovibrionaceae bacterium. RNAcentral's name for it is "tRNA-Lys". It matches the Rfam family "tRNA". Rfam says of the family: Transfer RNA (tRNA) molecules are approximately 80 nucleotides in length. Their secondary structure includes four short double-helical elements and three loops (D, anti-codon, and T loops). The record is from RNAcentral. Lineage: Bacteria; Pseudomonadati; Thermodesulfobacteriota; Desulfovibrionia; Desulfovibrionales; Desulfovibrionaceae.